GACGAACGCUGGCGGCGUGCCUAAUACAUGCAAGUAGAACGCUGAAGAGAGGAGCUUACUCUUCUUGGAUGAGUUGCGAACGGGUGAGUAACGCGUAGGUAACCUGCCUUGUAGCGGGGGAUAACUAUUGGAAACGAUAGCUAAUACCGCAUAACAAUGGAUGACACAUGUCAUUUAUUUGAAAGGGGCAAUUGCUCCACUACAAGAUGGACCUGCGUUGUAUUAGCUAGUAGGUGAGGCAAUGGCUCACCUAGGCGACGAUACAUAGCCGACCUGAGAGGGUGAUCGGCCACACUGGGACUGAGACACGGCCCAGACUCCUACGGGAGGCAGCAGUAGGGAAUCUUCGGCAAUGGGGGCAACCCUGACCGAGCAACGCCGCGUGAGUGAAGAAGGUUUUCGGAUCGUAAAGCUCUGUUGUAAGUCAAGAACGGGUGUGAGAGUGGAAAGUUCACACUGUGACGGUAGCUUACCAGAAAGGGACGGCUAACUACGUG
This 497-nucleotide ribosomal RNA is filed under the name uncultured bacterium. Its description in RNAcentral is "partial 16S ribosomal RNA". It matches the Rfam family "Bacterial small subunit ribosomal RNA", at positions 28 to 507 of the family's 1533-position model. The record is from RNAcentral.